Long non-coding RNA from Alligator mississippiensis (American alligator), 625 nucleotides. RefSeq lists it as uncharacterized. NCBI's taxonomy places the organism in Eukaryota, Metazoa, Chordata, Crocodylia, Alligatoridae. The record is from RefSeq and is a predicted model, not a curated record. The transcript has 4 exons.
GGGAGAAGUCAUGGAGCACAUCUUCAGGGAGAACUUUCUUGGAAGGGUCACUGAAGAUGGUUUUGGAUUUCAGGAGGGUGAGGACUAGUCUAUGCAUCAGUGAAAUCAGCUACAAGUAGCUCUUCCCAAACCAUUCUUGGCCCUCUUCCCAUGAGACCACCAGAAUUUGUUUCAGACACCCACCAUCCCUGAGAGCCAGAACCCAGAAAAGCAGUGCUAAGAUGAUAUGGUAUAUGAGAGAGACCUCCAGACACUGGUCAAGCUUUUGGUUUUGAUAGCGUUCCACCAAUCAGCUGCCUUUUUCAGAAGUAAAACAGAUGGGUGCAAUCCUCAGACUUGAGAGAUGCAAAUCUACUCUCCUAAUCUUCCACAGACUCCAUGUGUAAUCUGGAGCAAGUCAUGGACAAACCUGCAAGGGUGGUAGCCUUCGUCACUGUGUAACCCGCUGGACUCCCCCAGUGAUAUACAGAUGCACAAAAUUUCUUGCCUGAAUGACAGAAUGAAGCCACUUCUGAGAACAACAUAGGGAGAUGUCAGGACCGGUGAUCUAAGCAGCUGCGGAGACUCUCAUGUGGUUCUAUGUUUCUAAAGCCAAUGAUGAAUUAAAAUUGAGACCAACAUUUCA